GCCUACCAUGGUGGUAACGGGUAACGGGGUGUUAGGGCACGACACCGGAGAGGGAGCCUGAGAAACGGCUACCACAUCCAAGGAUGGCAGCAGGCGCGCAAAUUACCCAAUCCCGACACGGGGAGGUAGUGACAAUAAAUAACAAUACGGGGUUCUUUCGGAUUUCGUAAUUGGAAUGAGUACAAUUUAAAUCUCUUAACGAGGAACAAUUGGAGGGCAAGUCUGGUGCCAGCAGCCGCGGUAAUUCCAGCUCCAAUAGCGUAUAUUAAAGUUGUUGCAGUUAAAAAGCUCGUAGUUGAAUUUCGGGAUUAAUAUGUUGGUCGUGCCUUGGUACGUACUGGCAUUAUUGAUUCCUACCUUCUGAAGAACCUCGAUGUCAUUAAUUUGGUGUCUUGGGGAAUCAGGACCGUUACUUUGAAAAAAUUAGAGUGUUUAAAGCAGGCUCGCGCUUGAAUACAUUAGCAUGGAAUAAUGAAAUAGGACGUUUGAUUCUAUUUUGUUGGUUUCUAGGAUCGACGUAAUGAUUAAUAGGGAUAGUUGGGGGCAUUAGUAUUCAAUUGUCAGAGGUGAAAUUCUUGGAUUUAUUGAAGACUGACUACUGCGAAAGCAUUUGCCCAGGAUGUUUUCAUUAAUCAAGAACGAAAGUUAGGGGAUCGAAGACGAUCAGAUACCGUCGUAGUCUUAACCAUAAACUAUGCCGACUAGGGAUCGGAUGAUGUUAAUUUUUUAAUGACUCAUUCGGCGCCUUACG
RNAcentral lists this ribosomal RNA (751 nucleotides) under uncultured Glomus. RNAcentral's name for it is "SSU rRNA". It matches the Rfam family "Eukaryotic small subunit ribosomal RNA", at positions 339 to 1092 of the family's 1831-position model. The record is from RNAcentral. Lineage: Eukaryota; Fungi; Glomeromycota; Glomeromycetes; Glomerales; Glomeraceae.